AGACGGGGACCCGCACAAGCGUGGAUUGAUGUUGGAUUAAUUCGAUGCAACGCGAAGAACCUUUACCUACCCUUUGACAUGUCCGGAACUUGCCAGAGAUUGGCUUGGUGCCCGAAAGGGAAUCGGAACACAGGUGCUGCAUGGCUGUCGUCAGCUCGUGUCGUGAGAUGUUGGGUUAAGUCCCGCAACGAGCGCAACCCUUAUCAUUAGUUGCUACGCAAGGGCACUCUAAUGAGACUGCCGGUGACAAACCGGAGGAAGGUGGGGAUGACGUCAAGUCCUCAUGGCCCUUAUGGGUAGGGCUUCACACGUCAUACAAUGGUCGGUACAGAGGGUUGCCAAGCCGCGAGGCGGAGCCAAUCCCACAAAGCCGAUCGUAGUCCGGAUUGUUCUCUGCAACUCGAGAGCAUGAAGUCGGAAUCGCUAGUAAUCGCAGGUCAGCAUACUGCGGUGAAUACGUUCCCGGGUCUU
This 471-nucleotide ribosomal RNA is filed under the name uncultured Thiobacillus sp. RNAcentral describes it as "bacterial SSU rRNA". It matches the Rfam family "Bacterial small subunit ribosomal RNA", at positions 912 to 1382 of the family's 1533-position model. Lineage: Bacteria; Pseudomonadati; Pseudomonadota; Betaproteobacteria; Nitrosomonadales; Thiobacillaceae. The record is from RNAcentral.